Molecule: ribosomal RNA, 483 nt
Filed under: uncultured bacterium
Lineage: Bacteria
Description: partial 16S ribosomal RNA
Rfam family: Bacterial small subunit ribosomal RNA
Source: RNAcentral
AUUGAACGCUGGCGGCAGGCCUAACACAUGCAAGUCGAGCGGCUGAAGGGUGCUUGCUCCUGGUUUCAGCGGCGGACUGGCGAGUAAUUCCUAGGAAUCUGCCUGGUUGUUGUGUCUUACGUCCUGACACGGGCGCUCAUACCGCAUACGUCCUUACGGCGUACGUGUGGGAUCUUCGGACCUUCCGCUAUCACAUGAUCCUAUGUCGGAUUAUCUAGUUGGGGGGUUAACGGCCUACCAAGGCGACGAUCCGUCACUGGUCUGAUAGUAUGAUCAGUCACACUGAAACUGAGACACGGUCCAGACUCCUAGGGGAGGCAGAAGUGGGGAAUAUGGGACAAUGGGCGAAAGCCUGAUCCAGCAAUGCCGGGUGGGUGAAGAAGGUCUUCGGAUUGUAAAGCACUUUAAGGGGAGAGAAAGGGAAGUAAGUUAAUACCUGGCUGUUUUAACGUUACCAACAGAAUAAGAACCGGCUAACUCCGG